AUAGCCUUCAGCAGACCCAGUAUUGAAGGUGAUGCCUGCCCAGUGACCCCCAGUUCAACGGCCGCGGUAUCCUAACCGUGCGAAGGUAGCGCAAUCAAUUGUCCCAUAAAUCGAGACUUGUAUGAAUGGCUAAACGAGGUCUUAACUGUCUCUUGCAGAUAGUCAGUGAAAUUGAUCUUCCCGUGCAAAAGCAGGAAUAAGCACAUAAGACGAGAAGACCCUGUGGAACUUAAAAAUCAGCAGCCACCACACAAAAAUACACGCCUACCAGGCCCACAGUCAAAAUCAAGCGCUGGCUCGCAUUUUUUGGUUGGGGCGACCUUGGAGAAAAGAAGAGCCUCCAAAAAUAAGACCACCCCUCUUAACUAAGAGCAACCCCUCAACGUACAAAUAGUAACCAGACCCAAUAGCAAUUGAUCAAUGGACCAAGCUACCCCAGGGAUAACAGCGCAAUCUCUCCCAAGAGCCCCUAUCGACGGAGAGGUUUACGACCUCGAUGUUGGAUCAGGACAUCCUAAUGGUGCAGCCGCUAUUAAGGGUUCGUUUGUUCAACGAUUAACAGUCCUACG
RNAcentral lists this ribosomal RNA (569 nucleotides) under Sarcogyps calvus (red-headed vulture). RNAcentral describes it as "partial 16S ribosomal RNA". It matches the Rfam family "Bacterial large subunit ribosomal RNA", at positions 1815 to 2600 of the family's 2925-position model. The record is from RNAcentral. Lineage: Eukaryota; Metazoa; Chordata; Aves; Accipitriformes; Accipitridae.